RNAcentral lists this unclassified non-coding RNA (261 nucleotides) under Hevea brasiliensis (rubber tree). The record is from RNAcentral. Lineage: Eukaryota; Viridiplantae; Streptophyta; Magnoliopsida; Malpighiales; Euphorbiaceae.
UUAUUUUCCUUGCUUUCAAAAAUGUAUCGAUGAUGCCGAAAGAAUAUAAAAUCUCGUUGGUUGUGAAAAGUUGCAACCCGUCGACCACGAAAAUUAGGAUCUUGAGGGAAUAGUGAUUGUAUUAAUCUUCCAACACGAAGACCAAGGCGUGUUGUGAAGUUGGUCAAUACCAGCUCUGGCUGAUGGCUGGUUGGAUUUCCAUGAUUCUUAAUAUCCUUACGUAAGACAACAUUAGAUAUCUUAAAAUGCGCAGUAGGUCCG